AAUCAAGUUUUCAGUUUCGUUUACUCUCAACUGUUUCUUUCUUCUUCUUCCUUCCUUCCGCUUUCAAGAUUUGUUAUCCAUGAUAAAAAAAAAAUCAAUUCUGUUGAUGGUUAAUCAUAGUUUCCUCCUGCUUUCCAUGGUUUCAUAUCCCUGCUGAAAUUGAUGUGUAGAUUGUCAUGAGAUUUUUUUUUAAUUCGAUGCAAAAGGGAGGUGUUACACUGUUACUGUUAUUAUUUUGCCCUGUUUUCAUUUAUCACUUUGUUGUCCUUUCUUUACUGAUUUCAUUGUUCUCAAUUCGUUCUGGAAAAUUCUUGAAGCUCUUAUGUAAGUUUUCUUAUGAUUGGGACUAAUAUCAUAAGCUAGUGCUACAAGAUAGAAUCUAAAAUCAUUUCGAAUCUUAUAUAUAUAGCUUUCUAUUACACCUGAUGAAGCUAUAUGAUUUUAGGAACUUACAUUGGAUAUCUAAUAUCACCUUUGGUGGAUGAUAGCACUAGAUGACAGAAUUGAAUUUAAUAGAAUUAGGAACCAAUUUAAGAAUCACUCUUUUACUAUCUAAUAUACCAUGGAGUAAAAAGAAACAUUACAUGGCAGCAGAAGAUGCAUUAUAUGAUGUGGUAAUACAUGUGAUAAUUUGAAUCAACCUAUUAGGAAAACAAGAAGUCGUACAAACUGCAAUAGAGAUUUAUAACAGGGUAGAUGUUUGUCCUUCUUUUUCCAGAUUAUAGUCUAUUUAACUAUGCCUCCUUCUUGUGUUUAUUUUUUUAAAUAUUAUUCAACUCAUUGUCAGAUACACACCUGGACUGGGUGAGCCCCUAGAGGGGCAACGCCCAGCAUGUAUCCCGCCCUGAGGCGGGGCCCUGGCCUUCAGAUGGGCCUUGACCUCGGAGGCCCAAUUGGCCCAAUAGGUAGUACCCAAGCUCUAUAAAUAGGAGGUAGUUAUCAAGUGUAGGGGACUUUUGGCUCAUUUGAUGAAAUAACACUCGAAAUUCAGCACUCUCUCUCUCAUUCUGAUUCUCUCUUAGCACAAUCCCUCCACCUCUAGGUACUAUACCUCUCUUCAAUGUUCAUUCCCAGAACAACACCUAUCUAAUAGAAAAUUAGUUAGAACAUCUAUAUCUAUAUAUAUAUUAAAGCAGUAACAUUCCAAGCAUGCCAUUAUCAAAAACCUCAGCUCCUGAAUAUUUUACAAUAUUUUAUUCCCUUCCAUUUGCACCACAACUCGACACGUGUCUCAUUAGGAUUAUUAUAUUCAGAUUUAUUCCUCCAUCCUUCAUUCUCCCUCUUCUCCCACUAUCUCCAUUUAUUUUAUCUCCCCCAUUAUCUCGGUCUCAUCAUAGAAUUAUAGGAUUUAAUGAUGGUCAAAUUUCUAUGUGCAAUUAACAUUAAUUUCCAUUCCUUUUUGAAUUAUUAUAUUCAAAUUUAUUUCAUUGGCCAAUCGAGUGGCUUCCGUUACUCUUUCAAUUCCAUCAUAUUCAAAGCCUGCAUCCUCUCUCCAUUUUCCUUGCUCCAGAACCUUCUCUUCCCAGAGCCCGUUAGUUUGGGGUCGGUAGGGUGUCAAGGUUUCUGUGAGGGCUUCGGCUGGCGUCAAUUUCAUUUCUGUAGCAGCUGCCUUGCUCUCCCCUUGAUUGGGACACAGAGAUGAUGGUACCAUAGACGUCUUACUGGUAACUAGAACCUUCGUUUGCACACCACGACACCCUCCUUCCUCUGUCUUGGUCUCUGGAUAGGUUGUAAAGAGAGUUUCACCACCAUUUCUUUCCAUCUGCGACUACAAGAUCAAGCGCAAAGUUGUUCAUCAGAAGGUGGCUAUCAUAGAUUUGCAGGUUUAUAUGGAUAUGAGUCCGGCAACAGAUUAAUUUCCUACCUCCAUGACAUAAUUUUUUUUAGUUGGAAUCUUUUGGUGGCAUUUUAGAUACAUAGGUGGUUUCAAGUUAUAGAUGGUUUAACCCCUGAUUCAUCAACAUAUUAUGAAAAGGUCUGCAAGCAACAUUAUCUUCUACAAUGGUUUAAGAGACCCUUGGAGAGGUGGAGGAUGUUGAAGAAUAUGUCAAAAACUUUAGUCGCUAUAGUUGCAAAAGAAGAGAUUCAUCAUACAAAUCUAAGGUACUCAACUAAGGAAGAUCCAAAGUGACUCAAAGAUGCAAGGAAAAAAAGGUCCAAAUCAUAGCAAGUUGGAUCUCACAGUACUAUCAAGAUUGACAUUCCUAUAAUAAGAUGCAUUGGUAUUAAAGGAAAUGCAGAAUGGUUGGUAGAAGUCAUGUAGUGUCUACCAUUCCUGUUGUGAAAACCCAUGAAGGUACUACAAACAAGUUAUUAUCCAUUGAGUGGUUGGAAGGAAAGGAUCAUUUUUCAAGAAUUUCAAGAGCAGGCAUUGAAGGGAUACAGUCACGGGUAAAUUUCAAGAAUUUCAUCUUAUUAAUCAAUCAAUACAUAUAUUAAAAGAGCAAGGGUUAUGAGAACCCAAUGCUGAGGUGUCAUCACCUGGUGCAUUUUGCUCACAUUCAAUCUCAGAGUUAGUGGAAUCCACGUAUAUUAGAAACUAAGUGAGGACUAUUGACCUUAAUUUACCAUGUUUUUGGCUUCAUUUGGUUCUCUUGAACAGUUUAUCUUGAAAAUUAAGUGAGGUUCCAGGCUAAUGUCUUUUUUUUUUUUCUUUUUUACUUCUAUUCUACCAAGGAUCAUUUGGAAUAAUUCUUUUAUUAUCCCCUCUUUGUGAUUGAAGAAAGAUCUAGGUGCAGUUUAUUGUUAUUGAAAUUUCUAAUCUGCAUUGUAGGAUUUCCUUUAGAUUGAUCAUCUACAAGAAGUUAGCUGUUAAUUUUCUUCUCUGCUGCAUUCAGAUUUUGUUAUUGAAAUCUGAAUAUGUAUUGCAAUAUUUCCUUUGGAUUGAUCAUGUGCAAGAAGUAAGUUGUUCAAUUGAUUACACUAAUCUUGAUUUUUUCUGUGGCUUUGAAUGCAGAGACUGCGGGAGCAGUUCUAUUUGGAUAAGUGAAAACUUAGUUUAGAUGGCAUUGUUUUUUUUAAAUGUGUUGCCAUUCAAAAUCAUAGUUAACUGAUAUAGCUUUCAAUUUGGGUCUUAUCUUGAGGAGUUUUCUGGGUCAUGCCUUCUUUUCUAAUGCCCUAUAUCUGCGGGAGAUAUUGUCUUGAAAAAUGAGUUCAAUACAUGUGUUUUUAAUUUGAAGAAUGAGUUUAUAUUGUUUUAGUUGUUUUGUUGUUUAGCUGUUCAUGUAUGUGUUAGAGUGGUGUCCCUAAUAUAUGCCCACGCAAUGUCUUCAUUGUGCAUCCUACCUUCAUAAAGUCUCUAUAUUGUUUAGUUAUGGACUCCCAAUAAAAUAGCAUGAAUUCAAAGCUUAAUAUUGCUUUUUUCUCUCUUUGGUCCCUAUAUUUUAAUUCUACACCCUGUUUGUUUCUAAUUUUAAAGAGAUGAUUCCUGAUCUUUUGCUGAGAAAUUCUCUGUUAGUACCAACAAGUUUAAUUGUGCAGGACAACAAAGAGAAAAUAAUGGAUUCAUUCACCAGAAUCAAUCCUUCUACAUGGAGCUUUCACUAAGACUUUCACCAUAAGCUUCACAAAUAGAGUUCAUGUUUAUUUUUCUGCUUUGUUUUGUUUCUGUUAAAAUGGUGAUAUGUGAUUUCAAUUUUUUCUUUACCUUUUGUUCAGCAUCAAAGAUAUUUGGCUGUUGGAGAAGACUUCCAUUGUCAAUCUACAUUGUGAAGAUUUAGCAUCUAAAUAAUAUACCGAAAAAUCUACUUCAAGCAAUGGCAAUGAGGAUGUCCAUGUCUACUUUUACCUUCAUGUUCUUCUUAUUAUUAUUUUAGACAACAUUUGAAACAGAAACUGGGUGAUGUUUUUAGGUGCAAUAUCAUGGGCCAGUUCCCCUCACAAUAAUUUUAUGUUUGCGCAGAAAAAUUACUAUCCUUUUAUUUUGUUAUUUAAGUAAUUUAGUAUGGAAA
Molecule: long non-coding RNA, 3950 nt
Organism: Lotus japonicus
Lineage: Eukaryota; Viridiplantae; Streptophyta; Magnoliopsida; Fabales; Fabaceae
Exons: 7
Source: RefSeq, a predicted model, not a curated record